GCCUGGCUAGCUCAGUAGGUAGAGCAUGGGACUCUUAAUCCCAGGGUCGGGGGUUCCCCACAUUGGGCG
This is a non-coding RNA of Sarcophilus harrisii (Tasmanian devil), 69 nucleotides long. The record is from Rfam. Lineage: Eukaryota; Metazoa; Chordata; Mammalia; Dasyuromorphia; Dasyuridae.